UAUUUUAUUUAUUUUGUUUUUUUUUUUGUUUUUUUUUUUUCACUCACCUUGCUUGAGGUCUGCUGUUGCCUCACCCUUGUAGUCUAAUUCAUACAUUCAAUGAAUGAAACAGGUAGCGUGCUACUUUUAUCUCAAAAGAAAUAUAUACACUAUAGUCCAAAUACUAAAAUUGCUUCUGGAUUAUCUUAUUUUGUCACUACAACAAAAACGGUCUAUAGCGACACUUUUAAAUGUAGGUACAUGUCAAAAAAGUGCUGCUAACUAAAAUUACCGACACUUUUAAAAAGUGUUACUAUAUGUGGGGUCGCUAGGUAUAUAGUGACAGUUAAAGAGUGUCGCUAUAACCUAAAAGAGUGCUGCUAAUUUACCAACACUUAUUUGAGCAUUUAGCAACCGCCGAAAUUCUAUCUCGUUGGCUGCGGUGGCGGAGCUCUUCGUCUAGAAUUUCAGUGGAUUGAGUAUACGGAACUCUAAUCAAACUUGACCGUAACAAUUUUAAAAAUUUGAAUAAAAAAUUAUAAUAAAUUAAAAUUUAAAAACCAA
Molecule: long non-coding RNA, 543 nt
Filed under: Ananas comosus (pineapple)
Lineage: Eukaryota; Viridiplantae; Streptophyta; Magnoliopsida; Poales; Bromeliaceae
Description: long non-coding RNA (ACOM_LNC004195)
Source: RNAcentral